Molecule: ribosomal RNA, 428 nt
Filed under: uncultured bacterium
Lineage: Bacteria
Description: bacterial SSU rRNA
Rfam family: Bacterial small subunit ribosomal RNA
Source: RNAcentral
AUGUUGGGUUAAGUCCCGUAACGAGCGCAACCCUUAUCCCUAGUUGCCAGCACGUAAUGGUGGGAACUUUAGGGAGACUGCCGGUGACAAACCGGAGGAAGGUGGGGACGACGUCAAGUCAUCAUGGCCCUUACGAGUAGGGCUACACACGUGCUACAAUGGGCGGUACAGUGGGUUGCCAAAGCGCGAGCUGGAGCUAAUCCCUUAAAACCGUUCGUAGUCCGGAUUGGAGUCUGCAACUCGACUCCAUGAAGUCGGAAUCGCUAGUAAUCGUGAAUCAGAAUGUCACGGUGAAUACGUUCCCGGGCCUUGUACACACCGCCCGUCACACCAUGGGAGUGGGUUGCACCAGAAGUGGCUAGUCUAACCCUCGGGAGGACGGUCACCACGGUGUGAUUCAUGACUGGGAAAGUCGUAACAAGGUAACC